AGUGAACGCUGGCGGCAGGCCUAACACAUGCAAGUCGAACGGCAGCACAGUAAGAGCUUGCUCUUAUGGGUGGCGAGUGGCGGACGGGUGAGGAAUACAUCGGAAUCUACUCUUUCGUGGGGGAUAACGUAGGGAAACUUACGCUAAUACCGCAUACGACCUACGGGUGAAAGCGGAGGACCUCUGGGAUUCGCGCGAUUGAAUGAGCCGAUGUCGGAUUAGCUAGUUGGCGGGGUAAAGGCCCACCAAGGGGACGAUCCGUAGCUGGUCUGAGAGGAUGAUCAGCCACACUGGAACUGAGACACGGUCCAGACUCCUACGGGAGGCAGCAGUGGGGAAUAUUGGACAAUGGGCGCAAGCCUGAUCCAGCCAUGCCGCGUGGGUGAAGAAGGCCUUCGGGUUGUAAAGCCCUUUUGUUGGGAAAGAAAAGCUGUCGGUUAAUACCCGAUUGUUCUGACGGUACCCAAAGAAUAAGCACCGGCUAACUUCGUGCCAGCCGCCGCAGUAA
This 508-nucleotide ribosomal RNA is filed under the name uncultured bacterium. RNAcentral describes it as "partial 16S ribosomal RNA". It matches the Rfam family "Bacterial small subunit ribosomal RNA", at positions 29 to 523 of the family's 1533-position model. The record is from RNAcentral.